GUGCUCGCUUCGGCAGCACAUAUACUAAAAUUGGAAUGAUACAGAGAAGAUUAGCAUGGCCCCUGUGCAAGGAUGACAUGCAAAUUCGUGAAGUGUUCCAGUAUUAA
This is a small nuclear RNA of Myotis lucifugus (little brown bat), 107 nucleotides long. Lineage: Eukaryota; Metazoa; Chordata; Mammalia; Chiroptera; Vespertilionidae. The record is from Ensembl.